RNAcentral lists this ribosomal RNA (1548 nucleotides) under Triticum aestivum (bread wheat). Its description in RNAcentral is "partial small subunit ribosomal RNA". Lineage: Eukaryota; Viridiplantae; Streptophyta; Magnoliopsida; Poales; Poaceae. The record is from RNAcentral.
AUGCAUAUGGGCAUGGAUGGGAUCACAAUACACACGGCAGCAUGCUUUACCAUAGCAUUUUUGUUUCUCACCACAAUCAUCUCCGAGAUCAUUGCAAGAAUCAGAACCAUUCAUCUUACGCGCAAAGGAAAGAGAUCAUCAAUUACUCUGCGCCCGCCACAAGUUGUGAGUGGAGCUCCUCUAAUGGCAGCCCUGUUCACACUUGUGACCCCCAAGAAGGGUUUACAUGCUGCAAUCCAUGAACUACACAUGAAGAUGGGAAGUGUGUUCACAGUGAACCUUUUCGGGCUAAAGAAGGUGACAUUUUUGGUUGGGCCAGAGGUCACUCCUCAUUUCUUCAAGGGAUCGCCAUCCGAGAUCGACUUCGGGGAUACAGCUAAGAUCAUUGUGCCCGUCCUCGGUCAAGGAGUUCUGUUUGGUGUGGACAUGGCUACCAGGAAUGAGCAGAUCCGAUUUUGUACCAAGGCGAUACAGCCGGCGAGGUUGCGAAGAGAUGUUCAGUCCAUGGUUUGCGUAGUGGAGGACUACUUUGCGAAAUGGGGACAAAGUGGUACGGUUGAUUUAAAGCAUGAGCUUGGCCACCUAAUCGUGCUGAUCGCAAACAGAUGCUUGCUUGGCAAUGAGAUCAAAGGCAACAACAUGGAAGAAGUGUCGAGACUCCUCCAUGAACUAUUUGAAAACAGCUUCCACAUGAUCAACUUAUUCUUCCCGCACCUCCCAAUUCCGCCGCACCGCCGACGCGACGAAGCGCGUGCAAGGCUGGGAGAAAUACUCCACGAGAUAGUCAGAUCACGUAGAAGAAUUAGCCCAGCCCGAGUCAUGGACAGCAAUGAUGAUGACGAAGGCGAUGUGUUGCAGAGCUUCAUAGACUCAAAAUACAGUGAUGGCCGAUCCAUGACAGAGAGCGAGAUUGUUGGGCUACUCAUUGCCAUCUUGUUCGCCGGGCAGCACACGAGCUCAAGUACCAGCACCUGGACAGGAGCUUGCCUGCUAAGCAAUCAAAAGUACAUGACAGCUGCCAUGAAAGAGCAGAAGAAAAUCAUUGAGCAAAAUGGAGAACCCAUAGACUACACCAUCUUGUCAAAGAUGGAUGCCUUGCGUUGCUGUAUCAAAGAGGCACUGAGGCUUUAUUCUCCGACACCAUUACUACUCCGUCAUGCACACAAGAGCUUCACCGUGCAAACCAGGGAUGGCAUGGAAUAUGAGAUCCCAGAAGGGCAUGCUUUAGCAUGCUCCAUAGUGGUCAGCAACAAGAUGCCUUACAUUUAUAAGAAUCCUAAUGUGUAUGAUCCGUGCCGGUUUAGCCUGGGGAGAGAGGAGGACAAAACCAGUGGCAAGUUUUCAGACAUAUCCUUUGGUGCUGGGAGGUAUUCUUGCUUGGGGCAGGAUUAUGCUUUCAUGCAAAUCAAGGUGAUAUGGAGCUAUUUGCUGAGGAACUUUGAGCUCGAGUUAAUCUCUCCUUUCCCUGAGCUAGAGAAUGACAAAAUAUUACCAGGACCUAGAGGAAAAGUGAUGGUUGCUUACAGGAGAAGGUCAAUAGUUAAUUAG